UGCUGAGGCAGCAGGCUAAAAGUUUGUUACAUGCAGUGUAAGAAAAUGUCCGGAGGUGCUGACAUGCUUCACUCCUCUCAUACCUCUUAUAUCUUUGGGAAGCUUGACAUGCCAUAAUCUGCAAUUUUACAAAUCAAUCAAAAAAGAGAGGUCUUCAGUAAAGGCACUAAGAAAAAAACUGUGUUCUGUCAUUCCUGGAACCGACCUCACUGAGCAAGGCAUCUCCCUAAGACGCCUCCUUCCAUCAGACGUGCUCAAGACUAUGUGAAUGCUCACUUCGCCGACUUCAGUUCGCUAGUGAAACAAGAAGAAAAGCCUGACAAAAAACAACUGGUCAGUCAUAACGACUCUCACCAUCUACAACAGAGCCAAACACCAGUCGCUACCGCUCCAGGUGAACAUCUCAUUGAUUUUGUAGACCGGGAGCAGCUGAAGUUCCCCCCUACACACAUAAAAAUGGACAUUCCACCUCAGCCUAGACCUUCAGCGACUCCACAGACUGAGCUGCCGGAUCUAGCAGCCUAUCUAGCACGCCGUGAUCUACUGACAGCGGGAUUCAAGGUUUUCGACAACCGCCCUGAGUCCUACUUGUCCUGGAAGUCCAUCUUCUGCAACGCCAUAGAAGGCCUCAACCUCAAGCCCAGCGAAGAGCUUGACCUUCUAACCAAGUGGCUCAGCGGGGAAUCACUUCAACACGCCCUGAGGAUCAGGGCGGUCCACGUGAACAACCCACAAGCAGGCCUCCAACGUUUGUGGCAGCGUCUAGACAAGAGUUAUGGCUCUCCAGAGGUAGUCGAAGCGUCACUCUUCCAACGCUUACAGGCUUUUCCAAAGAUAUCCAAUAAAGAUGCUCACCAGCUGCAGGAGCUUGCAGAUCUUCUGCUAGUGUUAGAAUAUGCACGAAAUGAAGGUUAUCUGCCAGGCCUUAGCUUUCUUGACACCCCAAGGGGGAUAAACCCGAUAGUUGAAAAGCUCCCUUACGGACUCCAGGAGUCAUGGGUAAAACAAGGGACAAAAUACAAAAGAGACAAUGGUGCAGUUUACCCACCUUUCUCAUUCUUCGUUCAGUUUGUAAAUAACUAUGCUGAUAUGAAAACAGACCCUAGCUUUAUUUUACAAAGCGCUAACAUAGUAGCUCCAAGAGUUGACAAGACACUGAUAAAACCAAACAGAUACAGAGUUCCUGUUGCAGUGAACAAAACAUAUAUUAGUCAAACUAACAGCACAGCUCAAGCAUCCGUUCGUAAUCCGGACAAGCAAUGUCCUAUUCACCACAAGCCUCAUUCGCUCGCUAAAUGCAGGGGAUUUAGGUAAAAAACACUGGACGAAAGAAAAGGUAUUCUCAAAGAACACGCUAUUUGUUAUAAGUGUUGUUCUUCCACAAGUCACAGAGCUAAAGACUGUAAAGCCAUUAUCCAAUGCUCAGAAUGUAAUAGUGAUGCGCACGUGUCUGCCAUGCAUGUUGGUCCACCUCCGUGGACGCCUAAAGACUCUAACCCUCUGCUUCAGAGCCACGGCGGGGAGUCCGAUUCCCCAAGCCCUGCAACUACAACUAGUUGCACAGAAGUGUGUGGCCGAGGCCUCAAAGGUAAAUCCUGCUCUAAGAUUUGCUUAGUCAAUGUGUAUUCCCGCACUUCGCCUGAAGAGAAAAGGAGGAUGUACGCCAUGUUAGAUGAUCAAAGCAUCCUUAGCCAGGUCUGCCUUCUUUGACAUGUUUAAUGUAAAAGGUACCAUACUCCCAUACACCAUGAAAACAUGCGCUGGUCUAUCGGAGACUGGAGGGCGCAGAGCUAGUGACUUUGUUAUUGAGGAUGCAAAUGGAAAAGUGUCCAUGCUGCUGCCCAUACUAACAGAAUGUGAUCAGAUUCCAGAUAACAGGGACGAGAUUCCCACCUCUGAGGCUGCGUCGGCUAACCCUCAUCUACAGGCAAUCGCUUCGCAGAUUCCUCCUCUGGACCCAUCAGCAGAAAUCCUUCUCCUCUUGGGCAGGGACAUCAUCCAAGCUCACAAGGUCCGCAGUCAGGUUGCUGAGUCAGUAUUUCAGCAGGUCUUCCGCCACUAUGGCUUUUCGGAGUAUAUCAUAUUCCCUGGGGACCUCAUCUGGCUCUCCACGCAGGAACCCCCACUUCAUCUGCCCUGCCGGAGGUUGAGCCAGCCCAUGGUCAACGAGGUGAUUUACAGGUUGGAAUCUAAUUGGCCGCAUACAAAUGGUUGAUUUUCAUCACUUCGUUUUUUGCUUACAUUUGGCAUAUUCAAGUUCUCUCCAAUAGAAAGCCUGCCUAUAUUGAAGUGGUGACUGAAGGCAUCAACAAUAGCUUUCUUAUCAGUAAUGAGCCCAGUCCACAAUCAUUUGUUUUGGUAACAACGUGGAUAACUGUUCUUCAGGUUUUUAACAGCUUUCCAGAAUAUGUCAGGAUUCCCCUUGCAAUCAGAUUAUGUACAUAAUAUACAGAUUUUUCCAUUCAAAUAAGGUUUUUAGGGAGAUAUGUGUGCUGUUUUAAAUGAUCAGCAUAGCAACUUCCCUGUGGCCCUCAGCAAGUAAACAAUGUCACACUAAAAGUCUGGGUUUUCAUAUCGUUGUUGGAACAGGGCAAAGCAUACAUAACUCCUGCAGCAGAUGUAUCCCUCAUAAAGUCUGCUGUCCAAAGGGUCCACCAUUCCAAAGAAAUGUUGUGUUGAGUUAAAAAUGCAAAGAAUUCGAGACAAUUGACAGUCCGGCCCGUUAAGGCCAGCCUUGACACCAAAAACAAUAACGUAAAUCAAAUCAUUAAAGGUAAUCUAGAAAUCUAAGAAAACUAAGUUAAACAAAUAAAUAAGAAGCACAUAAAGACAAUAGGAUACAGAACAAAAUACAAAUGCGACAUAUAAUUAGAAUGUGUGAUUUUGAUCAAAUUAAAAUGUUAACAUACUCCAGAGCAUUCUUAUGAAAAGAUAGAGGACAGGUUUUCCAAGUGUUUUUUGUUGAUGUGUAAGAGAAGACAGCAACCUUAUUGGUAUGCCUGGAAUGCCAUUAUAGAAUUAGUAAUAGAUUUAAAAAUUUACCAGCAAUUAAUCUAUUUGUGAAGUAAUGGUAAUAUAAACAGAAUCUAAUACAGAAAUACGUUUUACAGAUUACAUACAUUGUACAUUUUAAAAUCCUUCUGGUAUUUAGAAUAAUAAUUAUGAAUUAUCCUUAAAAAAGGGUGAGCCUUGUCAUUGAAAUUAAAGGUUCUCUCAAUGUUAUUAACCGCAAUUGAUCUUUGUGACUUUGGCCUAAGCGGCAGUGUUUCUUUCUUGCCACAAGAUGUCACUUCAAUUCACUUGAAAACCCUCAAUGUCUCAUCCAAGUCAGAGCAUACCACUUUACCAAAUGGAGGUAAAAGUGAUUAAUGGAUAUGUUUAGGGAAUAAAUUGACCCUCUGAGAAGUAGAUACAUUAUGCAUAAUGGGGGUAGAUCUGAUGUUCCUUGACUUAGAAUAAUUUUUUCCCAAUGAUGUUUGAGUAGUGUAAAAUGAAAGCCUUAAAUCUAUUGACAAAAAGGUGUUUAUACUUGCCAUCCCUGAACUGACAGCAUAGUCAGUUAAUUAUUGCUAUAGUCUCCAUACUCUGAUUAUUAAUCACAAUAAAGCUACUUACUAAAAGACUAAGACCGGAAUGUCAUCCCUAAAAUCAACACCUCCUUAGCCAUUAUUAUUUUACGUUCUCUGCAGCCGUUCACUGGAAUUAAUUGCACAAUACUUUUAGACUUAACACUUUCAUCACUGCUUUUUUGUUCAAAAUCAAACUGCUAAGCACUUUACCUCUAUGGAGAGUAAAUGUGCACCUUAUCCAUCUUGAAAUACAUAUCACCUCAUUCUGUGUAACUUGUUGACCUCUUACGCCACUGUAAAUGUUUAUUUAUUGCUUUUAUUGUCUCAGAGUGUUAUCUUAUUCAAGUGUAACUGAUUGUUUUGUCUUGUUAUUGCCAUAAGUCAGAAUAGUUUCUGAAUCAACUUUCCUGGUUAGGAAAAUAAAGUUAAUAAGUAGGUAAAAAUGUAUUCCCAUUUAAAUAUAAGGAAACCCAUAUGACAUUACACAUAAAGGUAUUAUAUUGUUAAGUAUCUUAUAAUUUAAGGAUUACUAGGCAAACAAAGUUAAAGUUAACACCCAUAAUCCCACACUAGCAACUUCCGAGGAAAGAAUAUCAAAGGUUAAUGUUUUAUGGUGUGUUUACUUUUUAACUAACUGUACAGCUGAUAUAAAAAGUCUACACACCCCUGUUAAAAUGUCAGGUUCUUUUAUUUACUGAUUAUAUCUGACGAUUUUUCUGUUAUUAUUGCUGAAAUUAAAUAAUUAGAUCUUUGUUACCUUGUAACAACUUAUUCCAUGCAAUGGAAUUAAUUUAUAAAAAUAAAAUAUUUAAGUACUGUCACGGUGCGGUGAGGAUCAGUGUCACUGUGACAAGUAUAAAGAAAAUAAAUAAAACUAGUAAGGCAACAAUAAACAAACUUAACUUUAUAGACACUUGAGCAGUGGCAGUCUAUAGUAUAGGAAGCGUAGCUUCUCAGCCUUGGCACUUCACAGCUCAAAAGGUAUUCUAGAAUUGUAUCAGAUCAUUAAAUGCAUGCUCAAACAGCCAACCCAAGAGAAGUAUUGCAAUUUUUUUUAAACUAUUGUUAGUAAUGGGCAAAUCAUUGGGCCAAUGAAUGGAUCUUUUUACAUAUUGAUAAGUUUGAAGAGUAUAAACCGAGCAGGACCCUUAGAUGCAUGAACUCAGGUCAGCUAUUGGAGCCCAGAGUCCAAACUAAACAUGGCGAAGCUCAAUUUUACAGUUAUGCUGCACAAUGUAAAUAAACUACCAGAACAUCUUACACGUGCCCAAAACGUAUACAUCCAGGUUGAAAACAUUUCUCUUUUCUCGCGCCAAUGACUGAGCGCUUAAACUUAACCACACUGUUAGCCUUACAGCUUUUAUAGCUUCCUCAUGGAAUCUACUACAGAAUCUACCAGUUAUGUUUUGAUUUUCUUUUAUUCUAUUUCUAUUUUCUUAUUCAUUGUUUUCUUAGAAUGAUGUUUUAUUGUUGUUUAUUGUUUGUAUUCUAGUAUUUGUUUUUAUGCAAUUGUAUUUUUAUAUUUCUCUUUUUCUUUGUAAAGCACAUUGAACUGCUUCUAUGUAUGACUUUUGCUAUAUAAAUAAACUUGCUUGCUUGCUAUUGACUUGCUAUUGAAUGGUGGGCUUUCUUCAGUAUUCAUACUUUUUGCAAAACAUUAUACAACUUUUUUUUAAAUAGGCAAAUCAUGGUGAUUACCUCUUCUUGACAGGGAUGCAAUUUAU
Long non-coding RNA from Esox lucius (northern pike), 5293 nucleotides. The record is from Ensembl. NCBI's taxonomy places the organism in Eukaryota, Metazoa, Chordata, Actinopteri, Esociformes, Esocidae.